CACGUAGGGGGCAAGCGUUGUCCGGAUUUAUUGGGCGUAAAGAGCUCGUAGGCGGUUUCGUUAGUCGGGUGUGAAAACCCCAGGCUCAACCUGGGGACGCCACCCGAUACUGCGAUGACUAGAGUCCGGUAGGGGAGUGUGGAAUUCCUGGUGUAGCGGUGAAAUGCGCAGAUAUCAGGAGGAACACCAACGGCGAAGGCAGCACUCUGGGCCGGAACUGACGCUGAGGAGCGAAAGCGUGGGUAGCGAACAGG
RNAcentral lists this ribosomal RNA (254 nucleotides) under uncultured bacterium. RNAcentral's name for it is "partial 16S ribosomal RNA". It matches the Rfam family "Bacterial small subunit ribosomal RNA", at positions 524 to 776 of the family's 1533-position model. The record is from RNAcentral.